GUCUUUUUGGGUUAAUUAAAAAGUCUGUUCUGCUCAAUGAAAAUUUUUAAAUAGCUGCGGUAAUUUAACUGUACAAAGGUAGCAUAAUAAUUAGUUUGUUAAAUGUGAACUGGAAUGAAAGAAUUGAUGAGAAAUUGACUCUCUUUAUCUUACUAUAAAUUGAAUUUAACUUUUGAGUAAAAAGGCUUAAGUGUUGUUAAGGGACAAGAAGACCCUAUAGAAUUUAAUAAUUUAGAAUAUAUUUUUUAUUAAUUAAAUUAUUUAGUUGGGGUGAUUGGAAUAAGAGAAAAACUUUUUUUUAUUUUGACAUUGAUGAAUGGGGACUUGAAUUAAUUUAGUAAUUGUAAGAUAAAAUUACCUUAGGGAUAACAGUAUAAUUUUUAUGGAGAGUUCAUAUCGAAAUAAAAGUUUAUAACCUCGAUGUUGAAUUAAGAUUGAUUUAGAAUGCAGGAAUUUAAAAGGUUAGGUCUGUUCGACCUUAAAAUCUUACA
Molecule: ribosomal RNA, 491 nt
Filed under: Gibocercus chaco
Lineage: Eukaryota; Metazoa; Arthropoda; Insecta; Embioptera; Archembiidae
Description: partial 16S ribosomal RNA
Rfam family: Bacterial large subunit ribosomal RNA (bases 365-491)
Source: RNAcentral